This is a non-coding RNA of Pelobates cultripes (western spadefoot toad), 250 nucleotides long. NCBI's taxonomy places the organism in Eukaryota, Metazoa, Chordata, Amphibia, Anura, Pelobatidae. The record is from the annotation of a GenBank genome assembly.
AAGAUAUUCACGGACCAGCCACCCCCCUUUGACCCUGCUGCAAUGCUCCUCCAUCACACUACCACACCAAGUAAUAGAUACAAAAGAUCAAUUACUAUUAGGAUACUUAAUGUAGCAAAGCAGCUCAUUACACAACACUGGAAGAGCAAGGACACACCUACACCAGACAAGUGGUUCACACAAAUGGAGGCCCUAAGGGGGACAGAAGACAUACACAUGAAAUCUACGGACAGAACACAACAGUAUCUUG